AGGCACUUUUUUCGUGGCUGGUUGCAAGCACAGUGGUUGGUACUGUUACUAAUGUGAGAGGGUAGUGGGAUGGCUGAUUUUGAGGAACUUAUUUAUGGACUCAACUUAUCCACAUUACUGCUUCUGCAAUAGUUGUUACUGACAUGUGACAGUACUGAAGAGGUUUUUGUCUCUUAGUCACAUACAUGAGAGCAAUUUAAACACACUAACUUUAGGGAAUUAACCCUGAAAGAUGAGUCUUUCUUGCUGUAAUUGGAGGACUUGUUUGCCUAGCAUGACAUCUUUUGCCAUACCUGUAAAGGCUUGGGUCAAUUCCCUACGUUUUGUUUCAUGAUGCAUUCCAAUCCUACAACGGCUAGCAUCAUAAUCAAUACAACAUGACAUGGUUGAUCUUCUUUUCCUUUUUCAUUUCCCUAUCUAUUUUUUUUUAGUCUUGUAGUGUAAUGGGUAACAUCGUCCUUGUGUAUCAUAGCUGUUGCAAACGCGGAAAAUUAUCACUGAAUUAUCUAAAAAAGAAUCUCAAUUCUACUCCAGUUUAUUAUUAUAUUCAGAUAGCCUUUGAGCAUUCUGUGGGCAUUGGGUUGCAGCCUCUGGAGUUCUUCAGCUGUACCUGGAGCAUAUGCCUUGGCUGAUGGUGUGUAUAUAUAUCCUCAUCCAUUCAUUGAUUGUGUUCAGUAAAUGCUGCCGCUACAAGUCCUCAAAUAAAAUGGUCCACACUCUUAGCUUUUGUAGACAACACUCUAGCUAACAUUUUCUAUUAGAUAACGAUGUAUCGUAAUGCAGUGAAAUACUUGGUGAGAGAAGAAUAGAGAACUGAAUUUUCUUAUCAAAUCAAUGAUUCAUACAACAGAGCAUGCACAUACGUACACAUUCAUGUUGGCCAAAAUUGUUAAGACUCUCCUUUUGCAAGAUGAUGCGAUCUUUCAGGGUGGUCGAUCCGUCGAUGCAUCACAUUUUGUAUUGUUCAUCCAUGUACUGUCCAAGCGUCAGAGAACAGGAGAAAAGAAAAAGGUAUGGCCAACUAACAAUAUUAAUAUGGUGUAUACCAACUGCUCAGUUGUAGUAUUGGU
Molecule: long non-coding RNA, 1070 nt
Filed under: Oryza brachyantha (malo sina)
Lineage: Eukaryota; Viridiplantae; Streptophyta; Magnoliopsida; Poales; Poaceae
Description: long non-coding RNA (OBRA_LNC002905)
Source: RNAcentral